Molecule: ribosomal RNA, 444 nt
Filed under: uncultured bacterium
Lineage: Bacteria
Description: partial 16S ribosomal RNA
Rfam family: Bacterial small subunit ribosomal RNA
Source: RNAcentral
GUAGGGAAUAUUGGGCAAUGGUCGGAAGACUGACCCAGCCAUGCCGCGUGCAGGAAGACGGCCCUCUGGGUUGUAAACUGCUUUUAUCUGGGAAGAAAAAGGCCAUGCGUGGCAAAUUGCCGGUACCAGAUGAAUAAGCACCGGCUAACUCCGUGCCAGCAGCCGCGGUAAUACGGAGGGUGCAAGCGUUGUCCGGAUUUAUUGGGUUUAAAGGGUGCGUAGGCGGCUGAUUAAGUCAGCGGUGAAAGACUCCGGCUUAACCGGAGCAGUGCCGUUGAUACUGGUUAGCUUGAGUGUUGGAGGGGUACAUGGAAUUGAUGGUGUAGCGGUGAAAUGCAUAGAUACCAUCAGGAACACCGAUAGCGAAGGCAUUGUACUGGCCAAUAACUGACGCUGAUGCACGAAAGUGUGGGGAUCGAACAGGAUUAGAAACCCCGGUAGUCC